UACGGAGGGUGCAAGCGUUAAUCGGAAUUACUGGGCGUAAAGCGCACGUAGUCGGCUUUGCAAGUCGGUUGUGAAGUCCCCGGGCUCAACCUGGGAACUGCAUCCGAGACUGCAUUGCUAGAGUAUGGGAGAGGAAAGCGGAAUUUCUGGUGUAGCAGUGAAAUGCGUAGAUAUCAGAAGGAACAUCAGUGGCGAAGGCGGCUUUCUGGACCAAUACUGACGAUCAGGUGCGAAAGCGUGGGGAGCAAACAGG
RNAcentral lists this ribosomal RNA (253 nucleotides) under uncultured bacterium. RNAcentral describes it as "partial 16S ribosomal RNA". It matches the Rfam family "Bacterial small subunit ribosomal RNA", at positions 524 to 776 of the family's 1533-position model. The record is from RNAcentral.